Molecule: small RNA, 2259 nt
Filed under: Oryza sativa Japonica Group (Japanese rice)
Lineage: Eukaryota; Viridiplantae; Streptophyta; Magnoliopsida; Poales; Poaceae
Description: sRNA Os05g0409050
Source: RNAcentral
UUUAAGCCAAGAUAUCUUCAAUUUCUUCCUUCAUUUUUCAUGCACAGCAUACACAGAAAGAUGACUAAUCUCGGCCAACAGUCGAGGAUACACAAACACGGUUCAAUACACAUGUAAAACUUGUCAACCAACUGGAUCUGAGACCAAAACAAGAACAGAAACAAAUAACAUCUUUUACUUUGUUUUAUUCGAUGGCUUCUUACCUACAGGGUAGGGGAAACUAGGAAGAUCCUCCCCUGCAGAAAGAAGGCCAAUCAUAGGGUCGGGGUGAUGGAGAAGGAUCCAUUGGAAAAUUGCUUUCAUGUAACCCAGCAAUGCCUGGACCACCAAGGUUCCCAGAUGGUCUUGUGGAUCUGCCACCCAUGAACAUGGUUGACCAUGUGUCGGACAGCCAUUCACUCUUCGCUGCAGGGUUUAACAACGUUGUGUCAAGGCUCCAGUCUAUUGAGGUGUAGUCACAUGGUGAAGGCCCAUUAGUUCUCCAAUCAGGACGAGAUAGAGAUGAAGACGACUCGGACGAGCUCCAUCCUCGAAACAACCCAAGUGAUGAAGCCGCACCAAGGGAAGAUGAUGUACCUCCAGAGCCCCAGGUACCACCCCAACCAUUAGCAGCCAGAUCUAUAGGAUUGGAAACAAAACUUUGUUGAUGGUUUGCAUGCACAAACUGCUUGGAAGAAUUAACACCAUCCAAGCUCAUAUUUCUUAGGCCAUGACCUAAACCACCAUUCAACAUCAUAUCCACACCUGAUGCACCAUUUAAGUACCAUUCCCUUGGAGGUUCUGACGCAAACAUACUAUGGCUUGUAGAUGGCAGGCUUUGUUUGGCAGCUGCAGAUUGGGGACGCUGCAUUACAACUACCGACUCUCUCAAGUUUCCAUUAUGCAUUGCAUUUUUCACCUCAUUGCCCCCUGCCACAUGUCGCGUUUCAGACUUUAUUUGAGGUGCUGCAACAGGUAAAGGGGAUGAUGUGAUGUAAGAAACCGAUGGAACCGAAUUAGCAUUAAGCCGCCUUUUCUCAGGUUGAACAAAUUGUGGUCGGCCCAUCUCUGGCUUAACAGAUGGUGCCAAUGGUUGAAACCCUUUAACUGCAUGUUCCUUUGGACCACUACCAUUUAACAAAAGCUUGUAGUUUAAGUCCUUCUCAUCUCUCCUCAUUUGCUGAGCCCCAACUGAAGAAAAUCCAUUUGUUUGAGGCCUAGUUGGGUUCUGUGCAAGCAUUAGCUGCGCUUUGUUAGCCAAGCCACUUGAAUCGCCAGAUCCUUCAGGCUUAGAUGCAGUUGCUGUUGAUUCUUGCUUCUGUGUCUUCAAAACCUCUUCAGCCUUUUCUAGAUCACCCUCGGAAGAAACAACAGCCCUUUCAAUCUCUUGCUUUGUACACUUGAAUUUAACCUCCAGGGUCGCAAUCUUUGCAAGUUCAUCAGUUAUAUCAAUCUUCAAAUUAACCCCAGGUUGUUGAUCUGCUGCUGUUUGCUGUUUGGCUUCCUCACUUCCAUCAAAGCUGCAUAGCCAGGCAACAGACUCUUCAAGGCAGCCCUCAUUCUGUAUAAGGGCCAUUGUUGCUUGAUCUGAUGAGAAACCCAUAGCAACAAGCUUCUGCGCAAGUGCCUCUAGCUUUCUCGACAUUAGGUAUCCCUUGCAGCGCUCAUGUAACUCCUGGGCACGCCUCUCCUUCUGCCUUUGAUGCUUCUUCUCAUUCUUCUGUCUGAUCUUCUCACGUUUAUCGACAUCACAUCCUGGAACAGAGUCCACUCGAGGUGCAGUACUCGUUGAUUUUUCCUUUGGAUCUUCUGACUCACCAGAACAGCUACCAUUGUUAGAGGCACAAUCAAAGUCUCCUGUACCAUGGGAGCUACGAGAAUGUUCAUCUAUCUCGUCUGUAUUCCUUAAUUUGUCAUUGCCCUGGCUAACCAGCAAAGAAGAUGAUGGCUCCAACAGAUGGAAUUUUCCAGAGAAGUUGUUAUAGGCACUUGCAACUGUGCCAUUCCCCAUAGGCUUUGCUGCAACCUUAGGUUGCUCUUUUGGUGCCUUGGCAGCUGACCUGUCUUUGGACUUGGAUUUGGAUGCAGAUGGCAUUUUCAACCGACGAUCACCCUGACGCUUACCGGGCGCGUCUGCGGCGGACGGAGGCGACGAGAGGCGGUAGGGUUUUGGCGGCCGGCGGCGGCGGCGGCGGCGGCGGACGGCGGAGGCGAGAUCGAGAGGCGGAUUUGGGCGAGUUAGGGUUUGGUUGACGCGGGGGGGCGGGGCGCGGAUGGCUG